AAUCAACGCUGGCGGCGUGCCUCAGACAUGCAAGUCGAACGAUUAAAGCUCUCUUCGGAGAGUGUAUAGAGUGGCGCACGGGUGAGUAACACGUAAGUAAUCUACCUUUGAGUGGGGAAUAACAGUCGGAAACGACUGCUAAUACCGCAUAAUGCAGCGGCACCGCAAGGUGACAGUUGUUAAAGGAGCAAUUCGCUUAAAGAGGAGCUUGCGGCAGAUUAGCUUGUUGGUAAGGUAACGGCUUACCAAGGCUACGAUCUGUAUCCGGUCUAAGAGGACGGUCGGACACACUGACACUGAAUAACGGGUCAGACUCCUACGGGAGGCAGCAGUCGGGAAUUUUGGGCAAUGGGCGAAAGCCUGACCCAGCAACGCCGCGUGAAGGAUGAAGUAUUUCGGUAUGUAAACUUCGAAAGAAUGGGAAGAAUAAAUGACGGUACUAUUUAUAAGCUCCGGCUAACUACGUG
This 467-nucleotide ribosomal RNA is filed under the name uncultured bacterium. Its description in RNAcentral is "bacterial SSU rRNA". It matches the Rfam family "Bacterial small subunit ribosomal RNA", at positions 32 to 507 of the family's 1533-position model. The record is from RNAcentral.